Molecule: ribosomal RNA, 486 nt
Filed under: uncultured bacterium
Lineage: Bacteria
Description: partial 16S ribosomal RNA
Rfam family: Bacterial small subunit ribosomal RNA
Source: RNAcentral
AUUGAACGCUGGCGGCAUGCUUUACACAUGCAAGUCGAGCGGCAGCGCGGGGGCAACCCUGGCGGCGAGCGGCGAACGGGUGAGUAAUGCAUCGGAACGUAUCCUCGAGUGGGGGAUAACCCAGCGAAAGUUGGGCUAAUACCGCAUGAGCUCUGAGGAGGAAAGCGGGGGACCUGCGAGGGCCUCGCGCUGGAGGAGCGGCCGAUGUCCGAUUAGCUAGUUGGUGGGGUAAAGGCUUACCAAGGCGACGAUCGGUAGCUGGUCUGAGAGGAUGAUCAGCCACACUGGGACUGAGACACGGCCCAGACUCCUACGGGAGGCAGCAGUGGGGGAUUUUGGACAAUGGGGGCAACCCUGAUCCAGCCAUGCCGCGUGAGUGAAGAAGGCCUUCGGGUUGUAAAGCUCUUUCGGACGGAACGAAAUGGGCGGGACUAAUACUCCUGUCUGAUGACGGUACCGUAAGAAGAAGCACCGGCUAACUACGUG